Molecule: transfer RNA, 71 nt
Filed under: Camelus bactrianus (Bactrian camel)
Lineage: Eukaryota; Metazoa; Chordata; Mammalia; Artiodactyla; Camelidae
Also listed under: 2 other names
Rfam family: tRNA
About the family: Transfer RNA (tRNA) molecules are approximately 80 nucleotides in length. Their secondary structure includes four short double-helical elements and three loops (D, anti-codon, and T loops).
Source: Rfam by way of RNAcentral
GAGGGUACAGCUCAGCGAUAGAGUGUGUGCUUAGCAUGCACGAGGUCCUGGGUUCAAUCCCAGUACCUCCA